This 253-nucleotide ribosomal RNA is filed under the name uncultured bacterium. RNAcentral describes it as "partial 16S ribosomal RNA". It matches the Rfam family "Bacterial small subunit ribosomal RNA", at positions 524 to 776 of the family's 1533-position model. The record is from RNAcentral.
UACGUAGGGUGCGAGCGUUGUCCGGAAUUACUGGGCGUAAAGAGCUCGUAGGUGGUUUGUCGCGUUGUUCGUGAAAACCGGGGGCUUAACCCUCGGCGUGCGGGCGAUACGGGCAGACUGGAGUACUGCAGGGGAGACUGGAAUUCCUGGUGUAGCGGUGGAAUGCGCAGAUAUCAGGAGGAACACCGGUGGCGAAGGCGGCCCGCUGGGCAGUGGCUGACGCUGAGGCGCGACAGCGUGGGGAGCAAACAGG